UACGUAGGGUGCAAGCGUUGUCCGGAUUUAUUGGGCGUAAAGCGUGCGUAGGCGGCUGCGCAAGACGGGUGUGAAGCCCCGGGGCUCAACCCCGGAACUGCAUCCGAUACUGCGUGGCUAGAGGUAGGUAGGGGAGAUCGGAAUUCCUGGUGUAGCGGUGAAAUGCGCAGAUAUCAGGAGGAACACCGGUGGCGAAGGCGGAUCUCUGGGCCUUACCUGACGCUCAGGCACGAAAGCUAGGGGAGCGAACAGG
Molecule: ribosomal RNA, 253 nt
Filed under: uncultured bacterium
Lineage: Bacteria
Description: partial 16S ribosomal RNA
Rfam family: Bacterial small subunit ribosomal RNA
Source: RNAcentral